RNAcentral lists this unclassified non-coding RNA (1151 nucleotides) under Hevea brasiliensis (rubber tree). The record is from RNAcentral. Lineage: Eukaryota; Viridiplantae; Streptophyta; Magnoliopsida; Malpighiales; Euphorbiaceae.
UUUAUGGAAGUACUUACAAAGGCAUGUAAAAAUAGCAACUUAUGAUAAGAAGAAACUAGCAUCAGGUUUUUCUUGUGUCGCAUACUAAUAUUUGUUAUUAUUUUCCCCUUCACUUAGAAUUUUGAAAUGUAGGUGAAUGAAUGCUUGGAAAAAUAAAUGCACAAUUUAGUAUUAAAGAUGUGGACAGUAGGCAAUACAAUUUUGAUCCAGUUUGCUCCUAAUAACAUUUUAAUCUAUAUGACUAUUGACCUGAAUUAAUCCUUUUCAAAUAAUUUUUAAAAUUUAACUUCCAUCAAUUAGAAGGAAAAUAUUAUAGUGAUCCAUAUAUGAUGGCUUUUCCCACAAUUCCCACCUAAAUAUUUAACUUCAUGCAAAUUUUGGGCAAAAACACUACAAUCAUGUCUGAAUCUUCUUUGCCAAACCUGCUUUGUGUAUUUGUCUGUGGUUGGUCCUUGAUGUCAGUUCAUAUAAUAAAUUUGUCAUGCUGGGAAGGUGUUGGGUUUGAAUCUUCCUUGGCUAAGAUAUCUACUGCAUAAAAUAUCUUUUUGGUAGAUAUAAAUAUAUUUUGCUUGUACAAAAUUCUAAUGAAAAAUUUUUGUUUUACCAACAUAAUUCGGGAAACUUUGGGGUCAGGUAUGUAUUUCAAAUUUUCGUAGCCAAAAACUUAAAUACUAUAUUACUUGGAACUUGUUUGGUUCAAUUCCAAAACACAAAAUUUGGUGGAAUUCAAUCAAAUUUUAUAUUUUGUGUGUUUGGUUUGAAAAAAGGAAUAGAAUUCAAUUCUAAGAAUUGGUUAUAAUUAAAACCAAUUCCUAUUAAAUUUGAUGGAAUUUGAAAUGAACCACAAAACUUGCAUAACAACAUUUUUUGGACUAAAAUACCCUUCUUAAAAAACUUUCUCCCAAUCAAACUCUAUUGGCUAAAAAGGAAGAUGGACACCACAAAUUAGCUUUUUAUCUAUUUACUAUUAAUAUGUUUAAACAACUAAAUGAGUGAUUUUAUAUUUGUCCUAAAUUUUUAAUAUUUAAGCUUAUUAUGCACUUAAUAAUGAUACUAUUUGAUUUGUUAUAUAAAUAUCUGUAUGUGAAUUUAUUAAAAGUAUAUUGUUAGUUGAGUUUAUGUGUUUGUUAAUUGUUAUAAAUUUAUUAGGU